RNAcentral lists this ribosomal RNA (459 nucleotides) under uncultured bacterium. Its description in RNAcentral is "bacterial SSU rRNA". It matches the Rfam family "Bacterial small subunit ribosomal RNA", at positions 1 to 507 of the family's 1533-position model. The record is from RNAcentral.
AGAGUAGUUUGAUCAUGGCUACAGAACGAACGCUGGCGGCAGGCUUAACACAUGCAAGUCGAACGGGCGUAGCAAUACGUCAGUGGCAGACGGGUGAGUAACACGUGGGAACCUUCCUAGGGGUACGGAACAACUCAGGGAAACUUGAGCUAAUACCGUAUACGUCCGUGAGGAGAAAGAUUUAUCGCCCUUAGACGGGCCCGCGUCGGAUUAGCUAGUUGGUGGGGUAACGGCCUACCAAGGCGACGAUCCGUAGCUGAUCUGAGAGGAUGAUCAGCCACACUGGGACUGAGACACGGCCCAGACUCCUACGGGAGGCAGCAGUGGGGAAUCUUGGACAAUGGGCGCAAGCCUGAUCCAGCCAUGCCGCGUGAGUGAAGAAGGCCUUCGGGUUGUAAAGCUCUUUUGUCAGGGACGAUAAUGACGGUACCUGAAGAAUAAGCCCCGGCAAACUUCGUG